Molecule: long non-coding RNA, 507 nt
Organism: Tupaia belangeri chinensis (Chinese tree shrew)
Lineage: Eukaryota; Metazoa; Chordata; Mammalia; Scandentia; Tupaiidae
Exons: 4
Source: RefSeq, a predicted model, not a curated record
AACAUCUGGUGCCGAAACCCGGGAGGGGCUGGAUGCCUCUUGGUUAGAGCGCCUCCAUCGGACCUCUCACGCGGUCAUCCGGCUGGGAAGAUGGAAGUUCGUGACCAACGCCCCAGGGCUCCCAGAAGGCGGCUUACACCAUAGUCACUCCAGACUCCACCUUGGAGGCGGACACUCUCCUGCUGGCAACUAAUCUCAGCGGGCUGAACUCUAUGCCCUCACCAGGGCCCUGCAUCUGUCUAAGGACAAAAGGGUCAACAUCUAUACGGAUUUCAACACAUCCCUCGCUUCGGCCUCCCGACCAGCAUUCAGUCUGAUAACGGCCCUGCGUUCAUCUCGCAAGUGACUCAGCAGGUCAGCGGAAACUUACACAUCACCUGGAGGCUCCACAUCCCACAUAGGCCUCAGUCCUCGGCCCCAGCUGGCAUCCAGCUGCUGACUUUGCAUCCGAACAGCCCUUCCCCGCAUAUAUGGCACCCCAGUCUACCCUACGAACGAUAUCCCAAU